Molecule: long non-coding RNA, 528 nt
Filed under: Physcomitrium patens
Lineage: Eukaryota; Viridiplantae; Streptophyta; Bryopsida; Funariales; Funariaceae
Description: long non-coding RNA (PPAT_LNC008580)
Source: RNAcentral
UUCAUAAUCCAUACAACUCUUUUUGAAUAGCACACAAUCUUUUUCUUUCUUUUCUUUUUAAAUCAUCAAUCUUCUUAUAUACAAUAUUUUUAUUUUCAAAAAUGCUAAUAAAUCUUGUAUUAAAGGUACUUACAUCUUACAAGAGUAUCUCUCUUUUUGUACAUCUAUAAUCUCGCUUUAUAGUGGUACUUCCAAAAAAUCCUUGAAUUCUUCAACAAUCCUUGGCAAUGGAUUUUCUCUCAAUUUGUCUUGAUUGUACUCAUGAUUUGGAGGCACAAUCAAAAACUAUACUGCCUUCUUUCCAUCCUUACUACAAAUUCAUGCAUAAGCUCAACCAUUAUUAAAUAUUUUUAUUUCCAUCCAAAUUAUAAUAAUAUAUGGUUGCCUUAAAAUUAAAAAAAUAAGAAGUUGCAUCUUGAAUAAAGAAAUUUUGUUCCAUUACAACAUUACCAAUUCAAAUUUUCACAUCUAGACAAAUACCAUGUAACUCACCUCGUGUAUUAUUAGCUAUUCAUAUUGCCCAUCCAU